This 50-nucleotide small RNA is filed under the name Arabidopsis thaliana (thale cress). RNAcentral describes it as "ATSL055490". The record is from RNAcentral. Lineage: Eukaryota; Viridiplantae; Streptophyta; Magnoliopsida; Brassicales; Brassicaceae.
UCUCCACAGAGACAUAGAAGACACGAGUCUCUCAGUUAAAAGCACUAAAU